GCUCUGGAGAGGUUAAAUGGAAACCUGUGGCUCAAUGAGACGUCCCUAAAGCUCAUCAGUAAGGGGGGGAAAGUGACCUCCCUGACGGUGUCCCCAGUUGUUGAGAACAAGCUCACGCUACAGUAUGGAGGCUCUGUUCAGGCAUGGACUCUAAGAGUUGACCCACGUACAAAAUUCACUAAGAUCCGAGGCCUCCAGAAACCC
Molecule: long non-coding RNA, 204 nt
Organism: Etheostoma spectabile (orangethroat darter)
Lineage: Eukaryota; Metazoa; Chordata; Actinopteri; Perciformes; Percidae
Exons: 3
Source: RefSeq, a predicted model, not a curated record